This 253-nucleotide ribosomal RNA is filed under the name uncultured bacterium. Its description in RNAcentral is "partial 16S ribosomal RNA". It matches the Rfam family "Bacterial small subunit ribosomal RNA", at positions 524 to 776 of the family's 1533-position model. The record is from RNAcentral.
UACGUAGGGUGCGAGCGUUGUCCGGAAUUAUUGGGCGUAAAGGGCGCGUAGGCGGUUUGUCGCGUCGGGAGUGAAAACCCAGGGCUUAACUCUGGGCUUGCUUUCGAUACGGGCAGACUAGAGGUAUGCAGGGGAGAACGGAAUUCCUGGUGUAGCGGUGAAAUGCGCAGAUAUCAGGAGGAACACCGGUGGCGAAGGCGGUUCUCUGGGCAUUACCUGACGCUGAGGAGCGAAAGUGUGGGGAGCGAACAGG